CACUUUCCAAUGAAAAUAAAUCUUACAGAAAAAGUAAUAGAAAGCUAACUGCCUUAAGCAAUGCCAGUCUGAGAAUUAUGGGAGCUGUUGGAAGCCAUUGGUUUCUCAAAUUUUAUCAUGCAUCAGAGCUAUCAGGCUUGUUUUUGCUGUUCUUCCCCACAGUUUCUGAUUCAAUUGUCUGCAAAAGUCCAGAAAUUAGUUUCCGAGUUAAGCAGUACUCGUGUUUCUAGUCCAAAGGGCCUAACUUGAACUAGUGUUCUAAAGCAAAAAGAUGAGGGGAAAAGAACAGCUUAAGGAAUACAAUGAGUAGCUGACAUUUUGGAAAACAAAAUAGGAGUGUGAAAAGAUUAUUUGGAAUUUUAUAUUAAAGGGAUUUGAGCAGACAUCAGAUAUUUGAAAAGUAAGUGAUAUAAAUUGAUGUCUACACUUAGAUACAGUAGGAAGCAUUUUCUCCAGCUUUAUAGCCAAGGGAACAGUAGAAAGGCAGAAUGGUUUUGAUUAAGUGUCACAUGCAGCCAGUUUGCUUCACAAAUGAUUCGUUUUGAGAAAAUAUGCUUGACGUCACAAUGGGUAUAGUUCUUAAUUAGGGAUAAUCAGAAGUGUUAUUUGGAAAUGACACAUUUGAAGUUUGAGGAAAACCUAAAUUCUCAAACGUUACUUAACAAAAUGCAGGAUUUAUUUUUCUUUGACAGGGAGCUACUCAAUAUUUUCCUCAGGCAAAAUGCUAGUCUGAAUGCAAUGGAAUGUUCAGGAUCGGUCACCACUUCUCAAGAAAAGUAUCGAACAAGUUAUGUGAUUAGAGAAGGCUAGAGACUGAACUUGACUAAUAAUGUUCAGACUGGUUUCCGAGAUAAAAAAAGGAACGGGGAGGCAGCAACCCUAAAGAAAACUGGGCUCUUUAGGGAAGUGAAGAAACUUCAUAGUAUAAGUGCAUGUAAUUCUUAACUGUAAGAAGUGACAACUUCAGAAUGAGAAAAAUGUUUCAAGUUAAUGUUUCUCACCUCUGGAGCAGCAAAAUCCCAAGUCACAUUUUAUUGACAAGAUAUUGGUGAAAUAUCUACUCAGACAUUGCUUUGGUCAUUACAGCAUUGUCUCUCUGAAGGGUGAAUGAGCAGAUUCAAUCAGAUUUAAACAAGAUUUAUGUGGUUGUCAAGUAUAUGAAAAACCAAGAGGUAAUAAUAGUUACAGACUUGAUUAUUUAAGGGAAUACUCCAAAUCUCCACACACUGUUACAGGUACGUAGUGAGAGCCAAAUCAGUUUUUCUGUAGCAGCCCUCAGAUGUAAAACUUAGUUGCUCUUGAGGUACAGAAAAUAAUCCCUGUGUCCCAGUGUUUGUUGAAAAGUAAGGCAGAAUCUGGAACUGACUGCAGUGUGCAUCUUCACAGACCAGGUAGGAGCCCUGGUCCCGGGACUUAGGCCUCUGUAGUUACCAUGCCAAGCUUAAAGCCAGACUUGCUGAUUUGAUCUGAAAGAGUUGGAAAAGAAGAAAUUGCCUUUCAUCUAAUUUCUCCUAAAAUGUUGGCAAUAGCUUAUCAAGCUGAAUCCAGUAGCCUGGGAUUUGCUUUGUGUCUCCAGGUGGUUGACAGGUACUCAUGUAACUGAGUCACCAUUCCCUAUUGAUGCCAGGGUGCACAUUCACAGGAAGCUGGAUUGACACAUUGCAGGGACUCGACAAUGGGGAAUGAGCAUCCUCAUUGCAUGUUAUAGCUGCUGUGUCAACAUACCUCGCUCAUCCCAAAUCCACUCUCAGUGGGCCCCAGCAUGGUGGGUGCUGGUGGCUGAGACUUUGGUAAUGACCAGUAAGUUAUACAUCAGUUAAUUGGAUUAUAUCUGAGUUGUUUUUUGAGUUAAAAUUUUCAGUGAGUAGCAUUUCAUUGUAGAGGGAUAUUCAUUGAGGGGGGUGAAAUUGCUGUACUCCCAAGCCAUUGCCUUCACCUGGGUAAUUCUUCUGAGGGAGAAAGGGCCUCUUAGGCCUCUUGAUAGGGCAGUAAUCCUACUCAGGAGGCCAGAUACCUCAAAGACAUCCAAUACCUUGAUUUAACGUGGGAACUUUGGAGGAACACAUCUAUACCUUCAGUCCAUAUCACCUGUUCAGCUCAAAAUACUAAAAUAAUUUUAUAUGUCAGCUCUAAUAGAGACAUAAGACACCUUACAUUUUAACCAAAUCUUUACACUGCUUUGUAGGUUGCAUAGAGUGUGAAGCAGCUUAUCUUAUUUAAUUCUGUAAAUCUAAUGAAAAUGAUUUCACCCUUUUUGUUAAAAUUCCUACUUAGUUCCACUAGGGGGAGAGCUUCACUACUAAAUAAUCUCAAGAAGCAGUUUGAUUUUCUGCACAGCAGCCCAGUAGUAAUAUUUGUGACAUAAGGUUUUGUCCAUAUGGUAACUCCUUUUCAGAAGCAAUUGAUUUUCUGCUGUGCAAUUCCAGUAUAUGCUUUUUUUUUUCAUAAUUCAAACCAUUUAGUUCAAAAAAGUGAAUUUUAAAAUUCAGUGUUGACUUUGGAUGGGUUCUUUAUUUGUAAGUGCUGUUUUACAAAGAAUUGUCUUAACAAUUCUAUUGGAUUUUUUCUUUUUUGCACACUUGUUGUCCUGUGUAGGUAGUCCCUCUGCUAUACUAGGCCCAGCAUUUAUUUGCCUCUCCUUCAUUUGCCUGGAAUGGAGACCCUGUACCCUGUCGCAGUCCUAAGUCAGAAGUCCACCAUCUCCAACUGAGUCAGAGUCUCCUAGAGAGACUUGACAUGGACAUGGACAGUGCAUCGUUGACCUUUCUUUCACCCAUGCACCUGGGAGUCGAGUUGUGCAGAACGGCUGUGUGCUGGCAUGCAUGAUGAGCUGCGAUUCAGGUGACCCAUGGGUCUAGAAACUAUGCUUGGAAUCAAGUUACCACACGUACUGGGUGCCUCCUAAAUAGUUAUCUCCCUCUGUAUUUUCCCUUUACACAUUUCUUAUGACAAGUAUUUUUCUUUGAGAGGAUUAUUAGACCUUCCCUAUUUGGUAUUCAUGGGGUAGUAUGUUUUGCAACACCAGGAACUCAUAUACGUUGGGCCACUCAGCUUAUUGUGAGCCUCCCUUUUUACAUUUUCAGUAUAGCUAGAAAAGUGAUUUUUCCCUUGCCCAUGUGAUAGGCCAAAAAGCUACUUCUAGUCCAGAAGGAGUUUGUGAAAUUUUAGUGUUGGCUAGAUAACAAAACUUUUUUUUUUUCUCUCGAGAGGAUGGUCAACAUCAUUGAGGCACUAAGCCAAAUAUUUUACAUGCAUUAACAUUCUUAGUAAUAAACCCAGAAUGUCUAAGCCUGUUUAAUAUAUGUCAGAAGUUUCCCGAACAGUAAUGAAGGAAACUGAGGACAUUGAUGGGGGAGGUAGGAAGCAUUGUGAUACCGAGGAACCUAGGAAAUAGCUGACAGGAAGAUGGGGCAUUGGAGAAGUAGGAAUCAAGUAGAAAUAAAAACCCAGCAUAAUUAAUAUAUCCAACUCUUGUCUGUAUUAAAAUGACUUUCUGAAAGUCUGAGUCAAUCUGGAAUAGUGACAUAAGCAUCCUUUUAAAGUCAAAAACUGGUAGUACAUAUAUAGUGUGCAGUAGUAGUAGAUACAUGUAAUGAGAUGUGCUUUAGUUUAAAUGUUCAAAUGUUUUAAUUCUAUAAUAUACAGUUUAUCAACAUAAAUAGGAUUUUUAAAUGCCCUCAGUUGUUCAGAUACUUCUUUUAGAUGUCCUUUCAAAGUAUCUCUUAAGGGAAACGCAAGUGACCCUGUAAGUUUCUGCAACACAGCAUUGCUGAGCAAACGGAAGCCACAAGGCAGAUUUCUAACGUCAUCGGCUGUGCGCUCCUGUGGUUACCAGCAUGGCCCACAGUGAUCAUCUGCUGUCAGUGAGGUGGGCUGCUUCUAUAAAUAUCUGUGUAGUUGCUUAGAGUGGAGGGAGUAGAGAUAUUUAUCUAUUUAGUCUUUUGUUUGAGUAAAGAAGUAGGAAAAUUUUGUGAUAAAAUUUUUUUUUAAACCAAAAUACUACAUUUUCCCCAUGUUCUCAAUGUAUGUGUAUUCAUUCUAUCUGCCCAAGUUGAAGUAUUAGAGUCAAAAAACCUUUGGAAAUAUUUGAAAAGAUAUACAAAACAAACAUUUGGAUUAGGAAUAGGACUAUGAACUCAGCUGGCACAUUGAAUUGCUCAUAAUAGAUUAUGAGAUUAAAAGUCGCAGUUGCAGAGCAAUAUUGGUGCAGUAGUGAAGAUACCGCUUGUGAUGCCUGUGUCUCAUAUGGGAAUCCCUUGGUCUGAAUCCAUGCUCCAGUUCUGGCUUCCUGUUAUUGAGCACUUUGCGGGGCAGCACAUGAUGCUUCAAGUAUUGAGUCUCUACCAUCCAUUUGAGAGGUGUCUGUGGAACCUCAAGCCCCUGACGCUGAUCUGGCUUACCCUUGGCUCUUUGUGAACCAUUCAGAGAUUAAG
Molecule: long non-coding RNA, 4433 nt
Organism: Ochotona curzoniae (black-lipped pika)
Lineage: Eukaryota; Metazoa; Chordata; Mammalia; Lagomorpha; Ochotonidae
Exons: 2
Source: RefSeq, a predicted model, not a curated record